RNAcentral lists this long non-coding RNA (585 nucleotides) under Erythranthe guttata (spotted monkey flower). Its description in RNAcentral is "long non-coding RNA (EGUT_LNC000549)". Lineage: Eukaryota; Viridiplantae; Streptophyta; Magnoliopsida; Lamiales; Phrymaceae. The record is from RNAcentral.
GCAAUGUUUUGAAAACCGGACCGGACCGGCCGGUUCGACCGGUUCAACCGCGAACCGCUGCCAUGUCCGGUCCGGUUAGUUGUGAAAACCCGAAAAGCCCAAAAACCCGGUUCAACUGCCAAAAUUCCGGUUCGACCGGUAAAAACCGGUUAACCCGGAACCCAGGCCGAAAACCGGUUUUCAGCUCAAAAAAAAAUUUAUGGUUGGAUCUUCGUCAAUGGUGGUCGUUGGUGAUAGAAUCUUGUCGAAAAAGUUUGUUGGUAAACGGAUCUGGGUAGUAUGUGACCCAGUCCAAGUUGUUGGUGGCCGCCAUAGCUUUCCAUCGAAGAAACGAAAACGAAGAAGGUGAAAGUGAAAAUGAUGAAAAAAAGGAAAAAAUAAGUUGAGGAAAUAGAGUAUAUGUUUGGGUGGAAAUUAUGAUAAUUAAGAAUAAACAACAAUGAAAAAGAGAAGAAAAUGAGAAGGGGAUGGGGAUCUGUGAAGACGGGAGGAAGAAGAAAGGAGGGAGAGAGAGGGGAAGAGGAGAGAGAGAGAGAGAGAGAGAGAGAGAGAGAGAGAGAGAGAGAGAGAGAGAAAGAGAGAGGG